AAAGUCGUAACAAGGUUUCCGUAGGUAAGUGGAAGCUUUCCAUCUUACACCCCCUCAUAGUUUCUAUGCUUUGAAUAAUGUGCUAACUUUUCUCUUUUAGGUGAACCUGCGGAAGGAUCAUUACCGAGUGCGAACCCUCCCGUAAAAAGGGGGGUUACCUCCCGUCCUUUGCUGGGCACCCCCUCCAAUCGAAUGGGGGUUGUUUUUCAGACCCUUCUGCUUCGGCGGGGUAACCCGCCGGAACAACCUCAAAAUAUUCUAAGUUUUAAACCAUUCAGUCCGAGAACUUUUGAAAAGCGAAUAAAACUUUCAACAACGGAUCUCUUGGUUCUG
RNAcentral lists this unclassified non-coding RNA (333 nucleotides) under Ascomycota sp. RNAcentral's name for it is "partial contains small subunit ribosomal RNA, internal transcribed spacer 1, and 5.8S ribosomal RNA". The record is from RNAcentral. Lineage: Eukaryota; Fungi; Ascomycota.